Molecule: long non-coding RNA, 258 nt
Organism: Magallana angulata
Lineage: Eukaryota; Metazoa; Mollusca; Bivalvia; Ostreida; Ostreidae
Exons: 2
Source: RefSeq, a predicted model, not a curated record
AAUUCCCAAUUGACGUCAUAUUUUUAGAUUAAUUAAUUCGGAAUUGUUGUCGACAAAGAAAUCUCAUCAACUAAACGAACGGGUUGGGAUUUUCUUCCUUUGUGAGGUUUCCAUAAGCUCUCAAGUAUGUAAAGAUUACAUAAAUCUUGGUUCGAAAAUGACAUUAUGGAGGAUUUCAUAGAAGAAACAUGUACUUAUCUAGUUCAGUGGAUGUACAUGUAAUGGUUUAGCAUCAAAAGAAUAAAAAUAGGAAUAACC